GUCUAAGUAGCUCAAAUGGGAGAGCAUGUAAUGGUCCACUCUGUGUUCGGCGUAAGAAGGGCUUAUGAGUGCGGAAGUGGUUGAAGGUUCGAAUCCUUUCUUAGACG
RNAcentral lists this transfer RNA (107 nucleotides) under Nitrospinota bacterium. RNAcentral describes it as "tRNA-OTHER". It matches the Rfam family "tRNA". From Rfam's summary of the family: Transfer RNA (tRNA) molecules are approximately 80 nucleotides in length. Lineage: Bacteria; Pseudomonadati; Nitrospinota. The record is from RNAcentral.